This is a non-coding RNA of Schizosaccharomyces pombe (fission yeast), 797 nucleotides long. Lineage: Eukaryota; Fungi; Ascomycota; Schizosaccharomycetes; Schizosaccharomycetales; Schizosaccharomycetaceae. The record is from the annotation of a GenBank genome assembly.
CCAAUUGAUAUGCGUCGUUCAUACAGAGCUUGAAAGUACGAUUCUACCUCCGAUUCUACAUCCGGUGAAAAAGAAUUAGUCGUGUUAGUAGCAAUAACAAUGCUAUCCCGAUCAUGACCCAAACUGAAGAGACGCGGAUAAACUUGAAGACACAAAAUUUGGACAUCUUUUAUAUGUUCACUGACUUCCUCCGAAAUACUAACGUUGUCCAUCAACGUUGUCAAUAGAACAUUAACCGUAUCGAUGGAAAGAACAACAGACUCUUCCUUUUGUUCAGACUCAUUUUUUUGUAAUGCCGCUCGACUCAUCAAAAAAUCCAAAACCUCUACCAAGAAAACAUUAAGUCCGUCUGCAUCCUCAAAUUCGAGCAUCUUUUUGUCAAGCCAAUCCUGAAACGAUAACGCUUUGCGAGCAGCUGCAAGUGCAGCAAUCUCUAAAGCAAAUCGAUUUGGUUGAAUGUUGCCGAUGUGAGAUGUAAAAUCAUUUUCGAUAAUAAACUCUACUACCUGAUUCACAGAUGAACUAUCCUUCAGCCACAAACUGCGUAAAAAGGCGAACAAAAAUUGAGGGUUUGUUCGUUCAAUCCUAACGAAGACAAAUUUAUGUUCUUUGAAAUUGGAAAAAAAGUCUGAACACCAUUGAAACGCUAAUGACUCUUGAACAGGAUUCCAUGCCAAAGGGAGCUGCAGCGUACCCAAAAGCAAAAGCUCGGCAGAAACUUUCUCAUCCAAAAAAUUCAAGAACAGUGAAGUUUCGUAGGUGACUACCUCAGAUAACAGGCGUAAAAGGAUUUGGAC